Molecule: unclassified non-coding RNA, 263 nt
Filed under: Hevea brasiliensis (rubber tree)
Lineage: Eukaryota; Viridiplantae; Streptophyta; Magnoliopsida; Malpighiales; Euphorbiaceae
Source: RNAcentral
UUUCCAUUGCAUAGGGUGGCUCAUCUAACUUGGUUCUAACUUCUCUUAGCUCUACCUUCAGGAUAUAGCUUAUUGAAUUAGCUCAAGGAUCCACUUGAGUCUGACUUGAUUAGCAUAUGGCUCACUGGGACUCAAACCACCAUUCUUUCAGGUCUUGGAUAUACCAUUGCUAGGCGUCGCUGCUUUAAUACCAUGUUAUGCAUAAAUUCUGUGUAUUUUCUAUCUAUAUACACACACACACUUUGUCUCUAACUAAAUAGGAA